UUGACGGGGAGCACUACGAACGGGUGGAGCCUGCGGUUUAAUUGGACUCAACGCCGGAAAACUCACCGGGGCGACAGCAAUAUGUAGGUCAAGCUAAAGACUUUACCAGAAUCGCUGAGAGGAGGUGCAUGGCCGUCGUCAGUUCGUACUGUGAAGCAUCCUGUUAAGUCAGGCAACGAGCGAGACCCGUGCCCACUGUUGCCAGCAUGUCCUUCGGGAUGAUGGGUACUCUGUGGGACCGCCGAUGCUAAAUCGGAGGAAGGUGCGGGCUACGGUAGGUCAGUAUGCCCCGAAUCUCCCGGGCUACACGCGGGCUACAAUGACUGGGACAAUGGGCUCCUACCCCGAAAGGGGAUGGUAAUCUCAUAAACCCAGCCUUAGUUCGGAUCGAGGGCUGUAACCCGCCCUCGUGAAGCUGGAAUCCGUAGUAAUCGCGGAUCAGCCAUGCCGCGGUGAAUACGUUCCCGGGCCUU
RNAcentral lists this ribosomal RNA (473 nucleotides) under uncultured Methanomethylovorans sp. RNAcentral describes it as "bacterial SSU rRNA". It matches the Rfam family "Archaeal small subunit ribosomal RNA", at positions 871 to 1337 of the family's 1478-position model. The record is from RNAcentral. Lineage: Archaea; Methanobacteriati; Methanobacteriota; Methanomicrobia; Methanosarcinales; Methanosarcinaceae.